Molecule: non-coding RNA, 8454 nt
Organism: Coturnix japonica (Japanese quail)
Lineage: Eukaryota; Metazoa; Chordata; Aves; Galliformes; Phasianidae
Source: RefSeq, a predicted model, not a curated record
AGAGAGAAAAAAACACCGAAAAACAAAAACCCACCUCCCCCUCAAUAAGCCGGGACGAGCCUGUGCUGUCUAUCGAAGGGAGCCCUGCGAAGUUGUGUGUGCCGGGCCGCCGACCUGAAGGACUUUUCCGGGGAGAGGAAGGGAAGCAGAGAGGGAAGCUCUUUUAUUUCACCGCUUGUUUUGAUGGCAGCUCCCGGGAGGCUGCGAUUUUCUGCCGCCUCGUUGGUGCCCCUACAUCCCGGCUCGGGAGGGACUUCGCCGCCGCUCGCAAGAACCGCUCGCUCCACUCCGGGAAGGAGCGGGGGUCCGUGGGGUCGAGGCAGCGGCGGGCGGAGAGCGUGGAUCCACGGAGGGAGAAAGGGGGGGGAGAAGAGGAGAGAGGGGCAGGGGAUGGAGGAUCCACGGCGUUCGCCCGGCCCGGUAUUAUGAUCAUUAUUUUCACGAGGUUUUAAUUGAUUUUUUUUUUUUUUGGUCAUUCUGCAGUGGUAAGGGCUGACAGUACAGAAUAGCUGCCGUCUUUACAAACGUGUGUGUCCUCCUGCUUCCUUUCCUCUCUUUCUCUCUUUCUUCCCUCCUCUCUCCCUUCUGCCCCGAUUUCCCGAGAUAAAUGAAUGCGCAUUUGAUGGGUGUGUAAGAUGUGGCCCAUUCGGCUCCCGUAACUCAAUCCUGUUGAUGCAAUGUGUGCUGAACCGGUUGUGCUCAGCGACAUGUGGGCAAGGGACUUUUUUUUUUUUUUUCUUUAACGGUUUGGAUUGGCUUAAGAAGCCGAGGGGGGGGGAGGAGGAUUUUAUGGCUGCUCCCAAGCAGCGCCGCAGCUCCCAAGUUAAACUUUUGUGCACCCCCCCCCCCUUCCGCCUCCCCCCUCAUCGCUUCACACACAUACAUUUCGUCCUGCGGGAACACAGCCGCUGCGGGAGGAAAGCACGAGAGUGAAGACCCUUACAAAGAAAUUUUGCUGUUGAAACACCCUGCCCAAGACAGGAAGGUUCGCCCAUACUCCAUCUACAUGUUCUUUUCAUUAGAUGAAACAGUAAGAUGGGCAAAAGAAGGUGUUCCUUCCCACAGCCUCCUAGGACUGCUACAAGAUGCACGAGACAACUGACAAGAGAUAAGAAUAGAGACUCCUCACACACUGUUGCUAUCUUAACACUUAGCCAAGAGUAGCACUGUGGACCAGAUCCAGCAGGAAAAUCAGGUGCUGAAGUCCUGGGGCACUGUGCAUUUGAAAGCUUCACGUAGGAAAAGAAGUUAGAGCCUGAAACACUCAGAACCCAGGUAAAAUUCAGAGACUUGAGAACAACACUGCAGCUGGUUGCACCAGGAUAAAAAGCACUGUCACCAGAUUCUGUCAGAGAGUUUUAAUGUUGGCUCUGAUCUGAGAAGUGUGAUCUGAAAGAAGCAUCUUGGUGCCAGCCCCCAGGUGAGGGGGAUGGACUGCUCUCCUCUGCAAAGGUCUUGGUGGAAGGAAGGCCUGAGGAAGGAGGAAGGUAAGGAGGAGAUCUGCCGUGCCCUGACAAACAUGACUUCUCCAUCUGAAUGGUAGCAAGUACCCCAGGAAUACUCAGGUUGAACAUAGAUAAACUUUAUCUUGCUUCAGUCUCUGCUAUUCCAGACUUCAUGUCCACUUCUGCAUUGAUGAUGAAUAUAUGGCUUGCUGUACAAAAGACAGAAAUCAAUAAUGCUGAGGUUUCGUAACCAGACUCUGCCUUCCCCUAUGCUUCUACAAAGAAAGAAAAAAGGAAAAACAAGAAAAAGCCCCACAAUUCAAUAGUGAGGUAAGACUUGUCUUAUCCACUUAUAAAUGAUGAAACCCAAGUAUAUUCCAGAAAAAUGGCUUCAGAAGACACCACUCAAUACAUAAAGAGCUACACGAGUAAAUUUUAAAUGUGGAAGUACCAGAUCUCAAAGCUUGGAAUUUAAAACUGCAAAGUGCACAGAAAUAAAACCCUUAUGGAGAUGCUGAAAUGUCUAAUUCAUUAUUAUUUAAAAAAAGAUUAAAAAAUAAUUUCUUAACAUUAAAGUGCAAUCAAGCACUGAAGAAAUUAUUUAAACUUUCCAUAGGAAAAAAACACACUCUAAAAUGCUGUGAGGGUAUUGAUGGCUAUUAAAUAUUUACCUUUCUCUCUAGCUCACACUACAAAGAGUAAUUUGUAUUUGGCAGAAACUGGCUGCAAUUACAUUAGUCAAUCCAAAAGCCCAACUUGCUCAUACAAAAUGCAAACAAAUUAGUUAAAAUGGUCUAAUUAGCAGACUGUAAAAAUGCAAAGCAAGGCUGGCAUAAAAAUGUGUGCUAGACAAGUACAUUUUUACAAAAUAAAUAGAAAGGUAAAUAUGAAAUAGUCCACUAAAUCCUAACCAAAGGACCAAAGUGUAAAACAACAUUUAGGGAUUGCAAACUUCAAAGAAAACUUUCCACAAACUGUUAAAUAUGUUCUUGCGACCCACAUUUGAUCAUGAAAAUAUGAUUGCUACCAUAGCUGAAAUUCUACCGGGAUUUCAGUUCAGUGCUGUGGAGCUGUGUGAGGCCAAGUUAUAUAUUCAUUUCAUGCGGGUAUGCACACAAACACAACUCCCAGCGAAGCUAAUUGGAGUGCAAUUGAAGAAUGCAAGGAAUAUAGGAUGUGGCCUAUGGAAGGAAGGUCAAGCCAUUUCUUAACAUGUUGUGUAUUUGUUUUUCUUUCCACAAUUUAAAUAAAUAAUUGGAAGUAAAUGAAAACAUGGAAACAGUUAAGGUAAAUGAUAAUACACCUUUGUUCUUACAGGAAGUAUGAACUAUGUGUAUUUUCUACGAGGACUAAACGUACUGUUUAAAAAGAGUAACUACAAUAACUCUAUUAUUACUGUCACUGAUAUAUUAGACUAAGACAGGCUUUAGUAUCUCUUUAGUAUUGUUGCAAUUACAUAAUCUGUGGGUUUCUAACUCCUUUAGUUUAGAUACUAUAGACAUAAUAGCCCAUUAUGAUUCCUAGGCUAUCUUAUAAAAGAGGCUAUUGUGAAGUGUUGAUCUGAAUUUGCCUCCAUAUUCUUCUCACCUCCCCACAUAUUCUUCUGUCCUUCAAAAUGUCUAGCUGUCUAGAGCCACAUUCUUCCUUCUUGACACUUAACAGAUGGCAGAAGGCGGGUGACUUCGGCAAAAUUAAUUAGAGAUGCAUUGAAACAAAAAUAACCAUGAACACCCUCCAGCAAAAGUAUGAUGUUAUUUGGUACAAAGAACUUUUGUGUGUAAGUGUUGCAACAACAGAAAUAUCCUUGAAGAAUAAUUUGCCUCACAGGAAACAAUCAUUGGCAAAAGAAGCAUGGCCACAAGGUUUGGUCAUUAUCACCGUUACGACCUCUCUAACACAUAGCAGCUGACUCACUCAGCUACUUUCACUGAAAUAGCUGACUUCAGGUUCUUCACUCCUCCAUACUGUCCCUGGCUGCACUGAAUGCCUCACUGUGCUGAGUAUCUUCAGUCCACAACUCUUACAGAAUUAAUUUGGUGCAAAACAUCUCUGUUGAGUUCAGUGUCAUUGAAGUAGUAAGAUAUAUUUGAAUAUAUAAAAAAAUUCAGAGGAGGUAUAAGAAAUGUGGAUAUUCUACUGUGAAGAUCAAGGAGUUAGGUCCUGUUAUCUGUUAUUUGAGUUAGUACUUAGCAAAUUACUUGGAGAAUGGUGAAAAUAUGAACCACGGAAAUCAUGUGUUCCACUUUCUCACCCACCACCAUAUAUUCCCACCUCACAAAAAUACUCCAGCUACUGAGACUCUCAGAUGCAACACAGCUUCUUGAUGAUGACUGAUAAAACAAGUACAUUGGAUAUGUGAAGAAGAAAAGGAAUUUCUGGAAUACAAAAGCCAGUUAAGAGGAUGUAGGCUUGAGGUACAUCAAAAGAUGGGUGGGUAAUAAGUUCCAUCAUGGUGCCUUGCCAUGAGUGGCUCCACAAAUGUCAUUGGUUCAGUGAUUACUCCAAAUUUCUUACAAUCAUACUGUCACACAUGAAGUACUGUGUUUGCUUCUUCUUUGCAGGAGUCAUAGGACCAAAGAGCAUGAUAUUCCAGGAUAAUUAUUUCAGUAUUCAGUGUGCUGUGUUUUGCUGCUAUUUCCUAUAUAGGCAGCCUCAGAAAGCCCAGAUGAGUUAAUCAGCUUCCUGCCUGGUGCACAGGUUUAUUCAUUCUCUGUAAAUGCUGACAGCUCUGUUAUCCCUUACUUGCCAAAUGUUAGGAAGGAUCUAAAUACCAUAACUCUCAAAGUUUUCUCCCCAAAGCUAUUCAGUCUCAGCAUGCAAUUCACCAGAGAUACAGAUAAGCCUGAAAAGUGUAGUUCAGUCUGGUACACCUCAACCCACUUAGGCAUCUCUCCCCCCCUCAUCAUGAAGACCAAAUCAUCUGUCUUAACAGCUCAACAGGAGAUGGAACAUUGUCCCUACUGUUUACUUGUGCUGGGAAUACAUGCAGUAUCUACCAGUAAAUCAGCUUCAUAUAAAUCAGUCUACUUCAGCUGAAAGCUUGAUUCCAACUCUACUUUCUUCACUGGAGAGAAUUACACUAAUUUCAGUCUUUGGCUCACAUAUAGAUUGCAUCUGGUUGGCUCUACUUCCAGAGAAGUAGCUAUGGAUAGGGUUAGGAGAGAAAUAAUAUAUAUGCAGUUAUUCUAGCUCUGCAUAGGGAGAUGUGAGUAGUGAAGAAAGGGUUGAGACACUGUAGAAAAGCUGAACAGAAUAAGAUAUUGGGGGAGACAGUUGAUGUAUGAGAAAAUAAACACAACACAGAGAGGGGAAGUGAUAGAAAACAGAAACAGAAACGUAGAAGAGCUGUAUCAAGAAAUAAUGUGGAAGGAAGGAAAAAGAAGAGACAAAUUGCAAGGAAGACUAAAUGCAUAUUUCAUCACCUAAAACAAUGUUUGUAACUGCAACAUGACAGUACAUAUCAGGUUUGAUUUUAUAGAUAAACAUGAAAUGUUCACACUUGGGAAAAGCAUGAGGGAAACAAAUAAGGAAGAAAGAAUAAAUGGUCAGUUUUCAACAGGACAAGAGGUUACUACUGGAGACCCACAGGAAUCUGGACAGAAAUCCAUAUUAACACAGAAUUACUUAGGGUAGAGAAACUAAAACUUACUGUGAAGAAUUAAAAAAAAAAUAAAAAUCCCUUGAUAGCAUCUGGGUAAUAAGACAGAAGUCAAUAAAUUCUAGGUCAAUAAUACAAAUGCAUGUAGAGAAAACAAGCACAUCUAAAUGGCACUGAGCACUAAAUUAGCUAUUUCAUUUCUGGAAACAGAUCUUGGAGAGUCUGAUAAAAAUGUCAGCCCUGCUUAGCAGCAAGAAAAACAAUUAAGAAUUACUAGGAAAACACUAAACAAUUCAGAAACUGUCUGCUGACACAUAAUCUGUGGUGUACAGCAACCUGAACUCAAAACUAACAUGUAUAAGGGUAGAAAAGUAUACUGAAAGACAGAAGGAAUGGUCAGCUGCAUUGAAUAGCUUCUGAAUUUACUUAAAUCAAAUGAGACUUCCAUGUAGGUAAGAAAUAACCAAGGGCUAAUAUGUGGGAUUAUUACUUCAGGAGACACAGAUAAGGUAAAUAUGAACAAUUAUUAUUUUCUCACAACAGAAGAAUAAGUGGUACACAAGAAACUAUCUGGGAAUAUGCCAAAACAAAUAGAAGAUUUAAAUUAUUAUUUAUUUUUUUUCACAGGCUGAGUAUCCCAGCUGUGAAACUCAUUGCCAUAAGGUGUUACAAAGGCUUAAAAAUGAGUAAACUCUAAAGAGACAAAGUCUUUUCUCUAAAGAGACAAACACUGCCAGUUACUGAAUGCAGUGUCCAGAUGCAUUACCUGGGUGUAUAACAGUAGCAAAUGAUGAACCUCUCUGUAGGUGCUCUGUUUAUUUUGGCUGUCUUUGUUAACACCCACUACUGGCCACUGCCAGAGACAGAAUAUUGGCAACAGUUUUUGAUUUUACUUGUUUGGUUGGUUGCUUUGUUUUAUUUUGGUUUGUUUUCUUUUUGCUUUCUUUGCUUUUGUUUUGUCAAAUGUUUAUAGUCUUUUUGAAAGUCUAUGAGAUACAAACAAGAAGAGAGAACACAGUGCUUUUAUCUUUUCAGGGGAUACAGAGUCAACCUGAGUUAAGAAUUUCAUAUGAAAAAAUGAAAUACAUGGAUUACAUAUCAAGUGCCUGCUUCCUUGUGUUAUCCUAUCCAGCAUUAAUAUACCUGCCCAAAGCUUGCUCUGAUCAGUGCUAAAAACACUGUAAGUGGGAAGAAUCAAUAGAAAGUUUGAUUCCUGGUGGAAACUAUUAGUUACUGUAUCAAAAGUAUUACAUGAGAAGCACAGGGUGCCCUGGAGAGGAUGCUGGGAGAAGAUACCCAUCUCAGGAUGACUCCUACCACUUCUCUUCCCAAUUUUCCACUGGGGACAGCUUUCCAUUCCCUUACUGCCUCUUCUAUCUCACUUUUUCCUCUCUCUUCUUCCCCCUAUAUACAUUUCACUGUCAUUACUGAUGUGUGCUAUGGACCUCGCUAAUAAAUUUUCAUGCAUGUCAAUUUGUCUCAACAUUUUUUGUGCAACACACUGAUUCAAACACAUUGAUUUUCAGCUAUUUAAAUAAAUAGAAUAAUAAAACACAUUUUUUGGCCCAGAACUGAAAGUAAAUGGUAAGAUUCUGAGCCAGCAGGUAACAUUCAGCUGUACACAGGGGUGCCUAAAUGAAACAUGGUAGGUCAUAAGAUGUCACCUCUUGUAGCUCUGAAUCAAGUGCUCAGGGUGAGCACCAAUGAAAAAUAUCCUCUCUCAACAGCAACAAAAGAUGGGGCUCCAAUACCCCAAAAGUCAUUCACAAGUUGACAUCUGUGCAUUUCAACCUAUCCCUACAAAUCCUGCUACUCUAGCACUAAGCAGCUUUGCUGCUAUUUUCAGCUAUUCCAGAUACACAGCACAAGGGUAGCCCUCAACAACGGAAGAUGCCCAUGCUAUUUUCCUUAGUACACUUCUAAUAAUUAGGGGAAUAGUUAUCCAGUUACCUCCUAACGGAUUAACCCUGUUGCAUGAUCAACAGCUUGUCAUAGUAUUUACAGAACAUUUUAAGAACUGAAAACACAUAUUCUACCAAGCAGUUGCAGGUCUGCGGUGUCCACUAGUACUUAUCAGCAUCACCAAUAAGAACUGGAAGUUUCAGACUGUAAACUCCACCAAUCAAUGAGAGAUUUCCCACUAACUCUAAGUGGGACAAAAUCCUGUUGAUAACUUUUUUCAUGCCAUAUUAGAAGUGAAAACUGAUGUGGAACUCCUUGAAACUCCUUGUAUUCUAUGCAAGCUUUAAAAUAAAAUCAAAUCAAAUCAUUUAAAUAAAAUGGUUAAUAGUCUAUUUAUUCUUACAUACAGGCAUAGAAUUUAAACAACAGACAAGAAAUGUUGUUUAAAGACGUGAGUUUAAAUGACAUAGGUCUAGGGCUUCACAUAUUUAUCUUUCCCUUUGAAAGUGAGCAUGGCUGUUCAGCAACUGAAGUUGAGAGCUAAAAACAGAAGCUCUGAUACCUAACAAACUUUGCUCCAAAUCACUGCCAAAGAUACUAAGCAGCAGGAAGUAAGGUGCUGAAAACUACUGUCAACAAGUAAAACGAAAACUACUACUCUACACAUAUCUAUUUAGUUAUGUUAGUUUAAUUUAGGUUAACUCACUAGUUUGGAAGGAAUUGAUGCAACUUGGAAUGCAAAAUCCACACACAAAAAAGUGUUGGCAUCUGCUAGCUUACCCUACUCCCCUUGUAUUCAAUUUUAAGUAGAAGUUUGUGUUCUGGAAUUGAAACUGGAAGUCAAUGCCAAAAGCCUUAUGCUUUGGUUUCCUGUAACUCACAUUUGAUCUACUGUUUUCUCAAAAUAAACUUUCAUAAAGCAUAAUUAUGGCCUAUUAUUGCUAAAAUAGCUCAGUGAAAUUUAAGAUCCUCUUGUUUGAUGGUCUUGUUACUGGUACCAUUAGCUCCAACCAUUUAUACACACUGCCAAUUAAAAUCAAGACUCUACCUUGUCCUUCCUCUGCCCCUUUCUUGUGAAAUGCCAACCAUUCUGGAGGCUACUGGAUAUUUUCACCAAACAUUUUUAUCCCAGGUUGUCAAAUCAUUAAUGGUUACUCCCUCUCAAAUCUCAGAAGCUAUGAAUCACAAUGACAUGGGACCUUGCCCUAUUGAGUAAUAUAAAAAGAAAAUGGUAAUGGCUAUAAAGAAAUGAAUUAAUAGCAAACAUUUGUGUGCUGCCUAUGAUGCCAAGGUAGACUUCUGAAGCCCUUGCCUCACCAUUCUAGUCUGUAAUUUAUUUCAGAGAAGAAGGGUCCAUUCUCAUUUAUUCUAGUGCUUUCAGAUGCUUCUCUGGAAGGACAUUUGAGGCAUACUCACAACUUUUACUGUAACCUGAAACAAAACUGUGGCCUCAGUGCAAGAGUAUUACUACUAUUUAACACUGAAACUUAAGAAUACAGCCCUGACUGG